UUUUCCCGUUUCAUUUCAGGGCGAUGCAUUGGGUAUACCUUCUCACCUGAAAUCGAAAUUGUAUAAACUCAUGGGCCUAUUUUUCUCCUCAGAUCAAUGCUGCCUGAAAUCCCACCCUGCAGUUCAACCGUUGUUCCUUUAACAGUGGAUGGGUUCUGGCUGAUGGAGGUGCGUUUGGUGUUGCCGACUUGAGGAUGCGAUGACAGGGUCUUUCAUGAGGGAAACCUGAAAAGGGGGCAGAUGACUUCUUCUGUGGGGGUUUUGCUUUUGUUGCUGUUAAGCUUUGAUAGAAUGAUGCUAGAGAAGAAAUCUCUCUUCCAUUUCAACCUCGAGGUGCUUAUGGAUGACAGGUAAACAAAGGCUUACAAAAUGAUUGGGUAAGAGGGGAACAACUGCGGAUCGGAAGUGUGUCAAGGUGUUGCUGAACUGAGGCAACAUUAUACUAGAAACUGUGAUAGGAGGGCAUAGAUUUGUGCGUGAUAGUGGUUCUGAGCUUCUUCCAAAUACUGCAAUUGAGCCUUGGCGAGACAUUUUCUCACCAUCAUCGCAGAUGCCCAGGUUAACCUUCCCCAUUCCCCUUUGAUUCUCUCAACUCAACUCUUAUUCCUUUCCACUCUCACACGAACCAUCAGAAAUUGACAAUGCUUUGUCCUUAUCCCUUUCUCUCUCUUAAAUUAACAUAAGAUUUCUCUACUCCUCUUUGUGCAACAUUGAUCUGCUACAAUAUUGAUUAAUCAUUGGAAAAAAGCAUACCAAUGGAACAUGUAUGAUGAUAAAGGUAACAUUUGUGUUUGUCCAUGUCUGUGUGUUCUGAAUCAAAUUUGGUUCCUUUAUCAAAGUUUGGGAAUCAUUGUUUUGUUAUGGAUAUGCAGAGUAUUAGGGAGAGGGGUUUGAAGCUUUGUUUUCUUUAAUCUGUGGAGGGUUUGAAGCUUUGUUUUCUUUAAAUUACAAAACAUAAUAGGAAAAAUACCCAAGCUAGAGAUAGUGGAGAUGAAUGAAUUAAUUAUUUGGUUAAUCUGUGGAGGGUUAAAAAUAACAUUCCCUGAGGAAAAGAGUUUGGAAUGUUAUAUGACUGAGUAAGCAAAACAGAAUUGAAAACUGAAUGAGAGAGAAAGAGAGAGGGAGAUAGCAUAUCAUAUUUUUCUUCUCAUUUCAUUAGUCCUCCUUUGCUGCUAUUGUUUGUUUGUUUUUUUUUCCUAUUUCUUACGAGGUAACAUGGUUCACAUCAUUUUGCUGCAUAUAUUAGCCUUUAAUUAGAAAGAGUCCUGGAAGGUUAGUUCUAUUUUUUCAGGAUAGUCCUGUAUUUCUAUGAUUGGCUCCAAAAGGUACGUGAGUUAGAAACACAAUCACACAAUAACGGAAAUGAUGUUGAAAUGAGAUUCCAAACAAAAAUUCUUACCACUUCAUAGUAUACCUUUAUUGUAUUGAUAUUUAACCAUUGCAGUUUCUAUUUUGAUUGCUAAAUUUAACCACUUAAACGGGAGUUACGUUUUAGAAAUAGAGUCACUUUUAAUUAGAAAAUGAAGGUUUCACAGUUACAAAAAUGAAUGGUCAUAAUGCAUUAAGUGUGUUUAAGGGUCAUCAUUAUUUGUUAUGUAACCAGUGAGCAUUAGCUUUGCCUAUUUAGUAUUUUUAAUUGAGGUGUUAGUGUAUUGGUUAUGAAUUAAUGUGUUAAUAUGGAGUGCCUUCUCACCUGCAUGUGUAUGAUGUACGAAUGAAGUGAAAAAAGCUUUAGAGCAUAGAGUUCUUGAUAUCACAGUCACAGUGAAUCCUAAAAAGGUAUGCUCUGUGUUAAUGUAUUGUCUGAUAAUCAAUAUUUAUAUCCACCUAAGAAAUCAAAUGUAAUAUUUGAGGCAACAUUUUGCACUUUCAAUGAGAAUAUUUUUUAUAUUUUAAGAAGGGUUUCUUUGAAAUCCGCCAAGAAGAAGGCGAGAAGUUCAUGAGCCUCGUGGUAAAUCUUAUGAUCUUAUCCUGUAAUUUGUCAAGAUUUAACGAUUGGAGGUUAUCAUGUUAAAAUACCAACCAUCAAAAAGUUUUCCAUUUUUACAAGUAAGCAAUUUCUGAGUGUAGUUUGUAGACGGUUCUUGAUUGUAAUGUUGUGGUUGGAGAUCAACUUCAAAGAAAGUCAUGCUUGCCUGGAGUUAUGAUAGAGACAUGACCCAAUGCAUAAACUGAAAAGAGAUUGGUCUAUUGCAUGGCUUUUCUUAGUGCUGUUGUAGUUCUUUAGCCAGCACUAUUCUGAUAUUUUAAGAUUGAUGUUAUUUGACAAGGACCGGUGCAAAUAAAAAUUUUAUUUCUUAGUGAAGACCUUACACAAGGGGGUUUUCUUUCUACUAGGACUGGUGCCUUCAUCUUCCACUGGAACUGAUUCCAAAUGAGCCCAUAAGGAGAUACUGUGAAGCAUACACAAGGGGAACACGAACAUGUUUUGAUGUUAUCUUUCCAUUUCUGUGUAAAUCUAUAUUACUCUCUUUCUAUGUAAGUCUUGGGCUGUUAAAAUUGGUGUUCUGCUCACUUUUUCUUAAUUUGAUUUUGUAGCUUUCACUCC
This is a long non-coding RNA of Lotus japonicus, 2548 nucleotides long. RefSeq lists it as uncharacterized. Lineage: Eukaryota; Viridiplantae; Streptophyta; Magnoliopsida; Fabales; Fabaceae. The transcript is spliced from 3 exons. The record is from RefSeq and is a predicted model, not a curated record.